AUUGAACGCUGGCGGCAGGCCUAACACAUGCAAGUCGAGCGGAUGAAGGGAGCUUGCUCCUGGAUUCAGCGGCGGACGGGUGAGUAAUGCCUAGGAAUCUGCCUGGUAGUGGGGGAUAACGUCCGGAAACGGGCGCUAAUACCGCAUACGUCCUGAGGGAGAAAGUGGGGGAUCUUCGGACCUCACGCUAUCAGAUGAGCCUAGGUCGGAUUAGCUAGUUGGUGGGGUAAAGGCCUACCAAGGGGACGAUCCGUAACUGGUCUGAGAGGAUGAUCAGGCACACUGGAAAUGAGACACGGGCCAGACUCCUACGGGAGGCAGCAGUGGGGAAUAUUGGACAGUGGGCGAAAGCCUAAUCCAGCCAUGCCGCGUGUGUGAAGAAGGUCUUCGGAUGGUAAAGCACUUUAAGUUGGGAGGAAGGGCAGUAAGUUAAUACCUUGCUGUUUUGACGUUACCAACAGAAUAAGCACCGGCUAACUUCGU
This 483-nucleotide ribosomal RNA is filed under the name uncultured bacterium. RNAcentral describes it as "partial 16S ribosomal RNA". It matches the Rfam family "Bacterial small subunit ribosomal RNA", at positions 30 to 506 of the family's 1533-position model. The record is from RNAcentral.